Molecule: long non-coding RNA, 982 nt
Organism: Oncorhynchus tshawytscha (Chinook salmon)
Lineage: Eukaryota; Metazoa; Chordata; Actinopteri; Salmoniformes; Salmonidae
Source: Ensembl
ACGGGAUGGUAGGCAGGGUCAGGCAGGGGUCGGUAAUCCAGAGUAGUGGGGCAAAGGUACGGGACGGUAGGCAGGCCCAGGGUCAGGCAGGGGUCGGUAAUCCAGAGUAGUGGGGCAAAGGUACGGGACGGUAGGCAGGCCCAGGGUCAGGCAGGGGUCGGUAAUCCAGAGUAGUGGGGCAUAGGGACGGUAGGCAGGCCCAGGGUCAGGCAGGGGUCGGUAAUCCAGAGUAGUGGGGCAAAGGUACGGGACGGUAGGCAGGCCCAGGGUCAGGCAGGGGUCGGUAAUCCAGAGUAGUGGGGCAAAGGUACGGGACGGUAGGCAGGCCCAGGGUCAGGCAGGGGUCGGUAAUCCAGAGUAGUGGGGCAAAGGUACGGGACGGUAGGCAGGCCCAGGGUCAGGCAGGGGUCGGUAAUCCAGAGUAGUGGGGCAAGGGGGAAAACGGUGGUAGGUAUGAAUGAACAAAACGAACUGGCAACAGACGGAGAACACAGGUAUAAAUACACAGGGGAUAAUGGGGAAGAUGGGUGACACCUGGAGGGGGGUGGAGACAAUCACAAAGACAGGUGAAACAGAUCAGGGUGUGACAUUAAAGUAAUGAUGGACUGUCGUUUCUCUUUGCUUAUUUGAGCUGUUCUUGCCAUAAUAUGUUCUUGGUCUUUUACCAAAUAGGGCUAUCUUCUGUAUACCACCCCUACCUUGUCACAACACAACUGAUUGUCUCAAACGCAUUAAGAAGGAAAGAAAUUCCACACAUUUACUUUUAACAAGGCACACCUGCUAAUUGAAAUGCAUUCCAGGUGACUACCUCAUCAAGCUGGUUGAGGGAAUGCCAAGAGUGAGCAAAGCUGUCAAGGCAAAAGGUGGCUACUUUGAAUAAUAUAAAAUAUAAAAUAUAUUUAGAUUUUUUUUAAACACUUUUUUGGUUACUACAUGAUUCCAUAAUGUGUUAUUUCCUCGUUUUGAUGUCUUCACAAAUAUU